RNAcentral lists this non-coding RNA (27 nucleotides) under Mus musculus (house mouse). The record is from RNAcentral. Lineage: Eukaryota; Metazoa; Chordata; Mammalia; Rodentia; Muridae.
UAGGAUGAGGUGUUUAAUUUUAAUUGA